UGUGAGAGCGGGCUUGCUCGCGAAGGCGGUGUGUCAGGCACCAUUGAUGUCGACUGGCACACCGCUUUCGCGAGCAAGCCCGCUCCCACA
RNAcentral lists this unclassified non-coding RNA (90 nucleotides) under Pseudomonas migulae. The record is from RNAcentral. Lineage: Bacteria; Pseudomonadati; Pseudomonadota; Gammaproteobacteria; Pseudomonadales; Pseudomonadaceae.